RNAcentral lists this ribosomal RNA (700 nucleotides) under uncultured bacterium. Its description in RNAcentral is "bacterial SSU rRNA". It matches the Rfam family "Bacterial small subunit ribosomal RNA", at positions 94 to 792 of the family's 1533-position model. The record is from RNAcentral.
ACCGGCGCACGGGUGAGUAACACGUAUGCAACCUUCCUUUAACUGGGGGAUAGCCCGGAGAAAUUCGGAUUAAUACCCCAUAAUAUCACAGAAAGGCAUCUUUUUGUGAUUAAAGCUCCGGCGGUUAAAGAUGGGCAUGCGUACCAUUAGCUAGUUGGUGAGGUAAAGGCUCACCAAGGCAACGAUGGUUAGGGGGUCUGAGAGGAUGAUCCCCCACACUGGUACUGAGACACGGACCAGACUCCUACGGGAGGCAGCAGUGAGGAAUAUUGGGCAAUGGGCGCAAGCCUGACCCAGCCAUGCCGCGUGAAGGAUGAAUGCCCUAUGGGUUGUAAACUUCUUUUGUACGGGACGAAACUCCUGGUCGUGACCGGGAUUGACUGUACCGUGCGAAUAAGCAUCGGCUAACUCCGUGCCAGCAGCCGCGGUAAUACGGAGGAUGCAAGCGUUAUCCGGAUUCAUUGGGUUUAAAGGGUGCGUAGGCGGAAUAAUAAGUCAGUGGUGAAAGCCUGCGGCUUAACCGUAGAAUUGCCAUUGAUACUGUUAUUCUUGAGUAUAGUUGAGGUGGGCGGAAUGUGUAAUGUAGCGGUGAAAUGCUUAGAUAUUACACAGAACACCAAUUGCGAAGGCAGCUCACUAAGCUGUUACUGACGCUGAGGCACGAAAGCGUGGGGAGCAAACAGGAUUAGAUACCCUGGUA